Ictidomys tridecemlineatus (thirteen-lined ground squirrel) is the source of this 438-nucleotide non-coding RNA. The record is from RefSeq and is a predicted model, not a curated record. NCBI's taxonomy places the organism in Eukaryota, Metazoa, Chordata, Mammalia, Rodentia, Sciuridae.
CAGAUUCGUCUGGAGAACAUCAGUAAUGCUGUGACUAAGAGAAAAAAGGAAGGUUCUGGCCCUGAUCCAUCUACACCACUGCCUCUCAAAUUUACCCAUGCCUGGGAAUAGCCUGGAGGGCUUGAUAAAACUCAGAUUCCAAGGCAGAAGGUCUGGGAGGGGAAGUGGCAUUUCUCACAAAUGCAACGGCCCAGGCUGAUGCUGCUUCCCGACAUCAAGGAGUCACACAGCGGUUCACUUCACUCAGAAGAAUAAGGCAGAGGAAACUCAGCCGCCAACAGGCCAGUGUCAAGCGAAUUUCGUGGAGGUCCCAGGGGCAGUCUUCCCUCCUCCCAAAGCACAGGUGUUGCAUUGUAAUGAGACAGUGGAGCUAUGUAGAGGAUCCACCUUUGCUUAAAAGCCUUAAGCUCAUAAUACCCAAUAUUGUGUUGUCACGGC